AUUGAACGCUGGCGGCAGGCCUAACACAUGCAAGUCGAACGGUAGCACAGAGAGCUUGCUCUUGGGUGACGAGUGGCGGACGGGUGAGUAAUGUCUGGGAAACUGCCCGAUGGAGGGGGAUAACUACUGGAAACGGUAGCUAAUACCGCAUAACGUCUUCGGACCAAAGUGGGGGACCUUCGGGCCUCACAUCAUCGGAUGUGCCCAGAUGGGAUUAGCUAGUAGGUGGGGUAAAGGCUCACCUAGGCGACGAUCCCUAGCUGGUCUGAGAGGAGGGCCAGCCACACUGGAACUGAGACACGGUCCAGACUCCUACGGGAGGCAGCAGUGGGGAAUAUUGCACAAUGGGCGCAAGCCUGAUGCAGCCAUGCCGCGUGUAUGAAGAAGGCCUUCGGGUUGUAAAGUACUUUCAGCGGGGAGGAAGGCGUUAAGGUUAAUAACCUUGGCGAUUGACGUUACCCGCAGAAGAAGCACCGGCUAACUCCGUGCCAGCCGCCGCGGUAA
Molecule: ribosomal RNA, 504 nt
Filed under: uncultured bacterium
Lineage: Bacteria
Description: partial 16S ribosomal RNA
Rfam family: Bacterial small subunit ribosomal RNA
Source: RNAcentral